AAUCAACGCUGGCGGCGUGCCUCAGACAUGCAAGUCGAACGCGAAAGUCCCCUUCGGGGGACAAGUAGAGUGGCGCACGGGUGAGUAACACGUAGGUAAUCUACCUUCGGGUGGGGAAUAACGCAGGGAAACUUGCGCUAAUACCGCAUAAUGCAGCGGCACCACACGGUGACAGUUGUUAAAGCGGGGGAUUUUCGGACCUCGCGCCUGAAGAGGAGCCUGCGGCAGAUUAGCUAGUUGGUAAGGUAACGGCUUACCAAGGCGACGAUCUGUAGCCGGCCUGAGAGGGCGGUCGGCCACACUGACACUGACAUACGGGUCAGACUCCUACGGGAGGCAGCAGUCGGGAAUUUUGGGCAAUGGGCGAAAGCCUGACCCAGCAACGCCGCGUGAAGGAUGAAAUCCCUCGGGAUGUAAACUUCGCAAGAAUAGGAAGAAUGAACGAGCGCUAACACCGUUCGUGAUGACGGUACUAUUUGUAAGCUCCGGCUAACUCCGUGCCAGCAGCCG
RNAcentral lists this ribosomal RNA (510 nucleotides) under uncultured bacterium. Its description in RNAcentral is "bacterial SSU rRNA". It matches the Rfam family "Bacterial small subunit ribosomal RNA", at positions 32 to 517 of the family's 1533-position model. The record is from RNAcentral.